ACCGAACGACAGGGGAGCGCCUCCUGCUCGCGGGCUCCGGCCGGCGGGUGGCCGGCGCUGAGAGUGCGGACCGCCGCAGACCCUCGAACCUGAUCCGGCUAGUACCGGCGAAGGGAGUCGAGCUUCUCGAAGC
Molecule: non-coding RNA, 133 nt
Filed under: Tersicoccus phoenicis
Lineage: Bacteria; Bacillati; Actinomycetota; Actinomycetes; Micrococcales; Micrococcaceae
Description: TPP sequence
Rfam family: TPP riboswitch aptamer (THI element)
About the family: Vitamin B(1) in its active form thiamin pyrophosphate (TPP) is an essential coenzyme that is synthesised by coupling of pyrimidine and thiazole moieties in bacteria. The previously detected thiamin-regulatory element, thi box was extended, resulting in a new, highly conserved RNA secondary structure, the THI element, which is widely distributed in eubacteria and also occurs in some archaea.
Source: Rfam by way of RNAcentral